GACGAACGCUGGCGGCGUGCUUAACACAUGCAAGUCGAACGGAAAGGCCCCUUUGGGGGUACUCGAGUGGCGAACGGGUGAGUAACACGUGAGUAACCUGCCCUUGACUUCGGGAUAACUUCAGGAAACUGGGGCUAAUACCGGAUAGGAAUCCUUGCUGCAUGGUGGGGGUUGGAAAGCUUCGGCGGUUUUGGAUGGACUCGCGGCUUAUCAGCUUGUUGGUGGGGUAGUGGCUUACCAAGGCUUUGACGGGUAGCCGGCCUGAGAGGGCGACCGGCCACAUUGGAACUGAGAUACGGCCCAGACUCCUACGGGAGGCAGCAGUGGGGAAUAUUGCACAAUGGGCGGAAGCCUGAUGCAGCAACGCCGCGUGCGGGAUGACGGCCUUCGGGUUGUAAACCGCUUUCAGCAGGGGCGAAGCUUGUGGUGACGGUACCUGCAGAAGAAGCACCGGCUAACUACGUG
Molecule: ribosomal RNA, 465 nt
Filed under: uncultured bacterium
Lineage: Bacteria
Description: partial 16S ribosomal RNA
Rfam family: Bacterial small subunit ribosomal RNA
Source: RNAcentral